This 880-nucleotide unclassified non-coding RNA is filed under the name Avena sativa (oats). RNAcentral's name for it is "partial external transcribed spacer". The record is from RNAcentral. Lineage: Eukaryota; Viridiplantae; Streptophyta; Magnoliopsida; Poales; Poaceae.
AGGGGGAGGGUGGCCGAACCCCCCGGGGCGUGCAAGGGUCGUGUUUUAUGGGCAAAAACACGUGGAUUUGAGUGGGAUCCAAGAGGUUGGCGCACGCCCCUAGGCAAGACGUAGCGGUUGGCUCAGUCGGAUGACGUUUCCCUGUAACCAUCACCGUAAACCGGUCCUUUAGUAUCCGUACGGGGAUCUGGGUCUGAGGUGUAUUGCAUGAGGUGUAGCACCAUGAAAUUGACGAUUUGAGCUCCGCCGCGCAACAACGUGUUUAUCCGGUGUCGUCCACGAUACUUGGGAGUCACUGGCCCGGUCUCGUAAACGUUCCCAGUCGGUAUGAUUCCCCAAAAAGGUGAUUGCCGCGUUACGUUUUUCGUGUUCCAUAUGGGCUACUUCUCCUCAGUCGCUCUGGGUGGUCAUCCAUGUUAACCACGGAUAAUGCGCUUAUCCGGUGUCGUCCACGAUACUUGGGAGUCACUGGCCCGGUCUCGUAAACGUUCCUAGUCGGUAUGAUUCCCCAAAAAGGUGAUUGCCGCGUUACGUUUUCGUGUUCCAUAUGGGCUACUUCUCCUCAGUCGCUCUGGGUGGUCAUCCGCGGUAGGCACAUUCCAUCGCCUCUAGUCCCUUCAGAGAAAUGUUGCCCCAUGACGGUAUCGUUAUUGGUGUAACACCCGCGCGCCGUGGACACUCAGGACGCCUUCGUGCAGGCCACUCCCCCGAGCUAUGCGUGGGGGGAGGCUUGGUUGGCUUGACCGAUGUGGAUACGCGAGCGGAUGAGUAGCUUUGGACCCGUGUCUGUUGUUAGAUCCCCCGUCCUCGUGCGGCCGACUAGCGACGCCGUGUCCCGUCAUUCGUGUGGCUUAUGUUACUGUUGCCUUUCAAGUGCUUG